Molecule: ribosomal RNA, 292 nt
Filed under: uncultured bacterium
Lineage: Bacteria
Description: partial 16S ribosomal RNA
Rfam family: Bacterial small subunit ribosomal RNA
Source: RNAcentral
GUGUCAGCCGCCGCGGUAAUACGUAGGUGGCGAGCGUUGUCCGGAAUCACUGGGCGUAAAGGGCGCGUAGGCGGCAAUACAAGUCGCAUGUGAAAGACCAGGGCUCAACCCUGGGGUGUCAUGCGAAACUGUAUGGCUUGAGUGCAGUAGAGGAAAGCGGAAUUCCUGGUGUAGCGGUAAAAUGCGUAGAGAUCAGGAGGAACACCGGUGGCGAAGGCGGCUUUCUGGGCUGCAACUGACGCUGAGGCGCGAAAGCGUGGGGAGCAAACAGGAUUAGAUACCCCCGUAGUCC